Molecule: transfer RNA, 76 nt
Filed under: Cardiobacteriaceae bacterium
Lineage: Bacteria; Pseudomonadati; Pseudomonadota; Gammaproteobacteria; Cardiobacteriales; Cardiobacteriaceae
Description: tRNA-Phe
Rfam family: tRNA
About the family: Transfer RNA (tRNA) molecules are approximately 80 nucleotides in length. Their secondary structure includes four short double-helical elements and three loops (D, anti-codon, and T loops). Further hydrogen bonds mediate the characteristic L-shaped molecular structure. tRNAs have two regions of fundamental functional importance: the anti-codon, which is responsible for specific mRNA codon recognition, and the 3' end, to which the tRNAs corresponding amino acid is attached (by aminoacyl-tRNA synthetases). tRNAs cope with the degeneracy of the genetic code in two manners: having more than one tRNA (with a specific anti-codon) for a particular amino acid; and 'wobble' base-pairing, i.e. permitting non-standard base-pairing at the 3rd anti-codon position.
Source: RNAcentral
GGCCAAAUAGCUCAGUUGGUAGAGCAGCGGAUUGAAAAUCCGCGUGUCGGUGGUUCGAUCCCGCCUUUGGCCACCA